AAGCGAAUAGUGAAAUCUGGGGGCUCAACCUCACAGACUAUUAUUCGAACUGCUUGUCUCGAGAAUGGUAGAGGUAACUGGAAUUUCUAGUGUAGGAGUGAAAUCCGUAGAUAUUAGAAGGAACACCAAUGGCGUAGGCAGGUUACUGGACCAUUUCUGACACUGAGGCACGAAAGCGUGGGGAGCGAACCGGAUUAGAUACCCGGGUAGUCCACGCCGUAAACGAUGGAUACUA
RNAcentral lists this ribosomal RNA (235 nucleotides) under uncultured Candidatus Saccharibacteria bacterium. RNAcentral describes it as "partial 16S ribosomal RNA". It matches the Rfam family "Bacterial small subunit ribosomal RNA", at positions 585 to 818 of the family's 1533-position model. The record is from RNAcentral. Lineage: Bacteria; Candidatus Saccharimonadota.